CCUUAGAGCCACCGGGCAUGUACCACAACGAUGAUCCUACAUAUGACCCUGCCUAUGAACCAUCGUACGACAAGAGUUUUGAAAUGCUCUUGCUUUUCACGCCAGCACCAUCCACCGCGAUGGAAGAGGGACCAUCGAGUGGCCCGUAACGGACUCCUGCUUGGAUGCAGAGAUGACUCGUCGCGGUCACUACAGCAACGGCGUAUCGGGCGACGCGGAAACCACCAACGGGAACAACACUGUGUUUUUUGAACUAAACCCUAUGUCACCGACAUACGCCGAAUGGUCAUCGGUAUCAGCGAGAUUCUGGAACAACGCCCCCCUCGAUUUGCGCUUCAGUGGGCACGGCAGCACCCGAGCGAUGCAGCCACGAAUGAACCUUUUCGUCUUUAUCGUGCAGCGAGGACGAGGAAACCGAUGAAGGCAACCCACAAGGGGAGAACAAGUACAUUGUGUAUGAAAGCUGCCUGCUUGAAUGUUUCAAGGUGUGCGUAACAUGUCUAGCACCCUGCAAGCCAUCACUAAGUUUGAGCGGGAGCUGCCUUACUGUUCUCACGGAAUGCUGCAACGGCGAUCGGCACUCUUGGUCAAGUCGGCCAUACGUGGGACGGAAGCCAGCUGGGAACAUUGAUCUUUGUGCUGGCAUACUGUUCUCUGGUUCAAGCCCUGCCCCAGCACUCAGGAUGAUGCGGCUGAUGAACCUUCGGGUCAUCUCAGAGCGCACUUUCCAUGAGUACCAGGAAGCGUACCUCCUCC
Ixodes scapularis (black-legged tick) is the source of this 756-nucleotide long non-coding RNA. RefSeq lists it as uncharacterized. The record is from RefSeq and is a predicted model, not a curated record. The transcript is spliced from 3 exons. NCBI's taxonomy places the organism in Eukaryota, Metazoa, Arthropoda, Arachnida, Ixodida, Ixodidae.